Molecule: long non-coding RNA, 601 nt
Filed under: Homo sapiens (human)
Lineage: Eukaryota; Metazoa; Chordata; Mammalia; Primates; Hominidae
Description: long independently transcribed non-coding RNA 2359, transcript variant 8 (LINC02359)
Source: RNAcentral
ACAGUACAUCACCUUCAUGAGCGCAUCAGUGAACACCAGUCUAAGGAAGACAUCUCUGAACGUAAUUUUGGAGAUUUUGAUGAGUUCCAUUGAAACAAGGAGGAAUGUGAUGUCCAGUAUCAGUUCUGCAGACCCAAGGACAAAGAAAAUUCUGUGAUAAACUCAUCCAGUGUGACUGUAAUGUGGGUAUCUAUUUGAUACCUCCAAGUAACUGUUUAUUCUUGUGCCAGUUGAGUAGAUGGUACGGGCCAGUUGGUGUUGAUUAGUGAACCACGGACAAAGGGCAUAUGUCACAUGAGUUGCUCCUGGAUAAAGUCACCCAGUCACUUCCUGAUGAAUAUCCUGCAUAAACUCCAAAGACAAAAGAGAGUUAAGGUUGUUUUUCUCACCUUAGACCAGGCAGUGAUAGAAGAACUGGGGGAAGAGAUAAUUGUAUUUAUCUUGGUGAGGGUGACAAAUCAUGGCAAAUGAGCAAAAUGAAAAAGGAUACAAGACACCGGACUUUCAAAUCAACAAUUGUUUCAAAAGACUCCUACUGGAUUCCUGCUAGUGAUGGGAGAAAAUUAUCAUUCUGUGAGUUGUCAAUAAAUGUUUAACCACA